This 116-nucleotide small nucleolar RNA is filed under the name Moschus moschiferus (Siberian musk deer). RNAcentral's name for it is "Small nucleolar RNA SNORA26 (ENSMMSG00000002069.1)". It matches the Rfam family "Small nucleolar RNA SNORA26". Rfam says of the family: The snoRNA HBI-6 belong to the H/ACA family of snoRNAs, guiding the pseudouridylation of position U4522 if the 28S rRNA. HBI-6 is the human orthologue of mouse MBI-6 snoRNA. Lineage: Eukaryota; Metazoa; Chordata; Mammalia; Artiodactyla; Moschidae. The record is from Rfam by way of RNAcentral.
AUGCUCUUCAAAGCUGUUUGAUAAAGAGGCUAACACAGGAGGGUAAAGAAAAUCUCCAUAAAACCCAGAGAAGAGAUUUUAGAACUCCUCUCUGGAUCCUAUCUGGAGUCACAACU